CAGGGCUCAACACAGGUAAGUUGUUGGGAGUUUUUUCAAACUUUGAGUUCAUACAGACUAGUGUGUAAGUAGCUAAGUAUAGAGUGACUCUGGUUCUAAGAAACAAUUGGAAUGUAGCCACAUUUUGGUGAGUGAAGAGUAUCCUUUACUGAAUGCUGUGAAUGAGAUGUCUUCAAAAUGUUUUAAAGCAGUCACUAGGCAGGCAACUUACAAAUGCUGAGAGCCAGGGUGAAUAGAGGUGUGCACCUGUGAUCCCAGCACUUAGGCAGGGGAGCCAGGAAGAUCAAAAGAUCAGUCUUGGCUACCUAGGAAGUAAGAAAAAAAAAAAAAGUAAAAAAACCCAACACCUUGUCUGUGCUGAGUGAGACAUGUGAAAAAGACAUGUGAGGAAACAAUCUCUUCCUUAUCUACAGCUGAGUUAGCCCUGGAGAUACGCUGUGUCAUCUGCUGUUUUAAACGGCAACAAGAACUGGAACUGCCAUCCAUUCUUGUACUCAGCUAUAUUUGGGAAGCCAAGGGAGGUGGAGUGAGAGUUUACAGGGAGGCCCUGUCUCAAAAUAAC
Molecule: long non-coding RNA, 562 nt
Filed under: Rattus norvegicus (Norway rat)
Lineage: Eukaryota; Metazoa; Chordata; Mammalia; Rodentia; Muridae
Description: long non-coding RNA NONRATT002330
Source: RNAcentral